GACGAACGCUGGCGGCGUGCCUAAUACAUGCAAGUCGAACGCUGAGGGAGGAGCUUGCUUCUCUGGAUGAGUUGCGAACGGGUGAGUAACGCGUAGGUAACCUGCCUUGUAGCGGGGGAUAACUAUUGGAAACGAUAGCUAAUACCGCAUAAUAGUAGAUGUUGCAUGACAUUUGCUUAAAAGGUUCAAUUGCAUCACUACCAGAUGGACCUGCUUUGUAUUGGCUAGUUGGUGGGGUAACGGCGCACCUAGGCGACGAUACAUAGCCGACAUGAGAGGGGGGGCGGCCGCACUGGGACGGAGACACGGCACAGAGGCAUAGGGGAGGCAGCAGUAGGGAAACGGCGGGAAGGGGCGGAAGACUGAGCGAGAAACGCGGAGGGAGGGAGGAAGGUUGUCGGGUCGGAAAGGACUGUUGUAAGGGAAUAACGAGUGUGAGAGUGGAAAGUACACACUGUGACGGUAACUGACAAGAAAGCAACGGCUAACUACGUG
RNAcentral lists this ribosomal RNA (495 nucleotides) under uncultured bacterium. RNAcentral's name for it is "partial 16S ribosomal RNA". It matches the Rfam family "Bacterial small subunit ribosomal RNA", at positions 28 to 507 of the family's 1533-position model. The record is from RNAcentral.